UGGGGAAUAUUGCACAAUGGGCGAAAGCCUGAUGCAGCGACGCCGCGUGAGGGAUGACGGCCUUCGGGUUGUAAACCUCUUUCAGCAGGGAAGAAGCGAAAGUGACGGUACCUGCAGAAGAAGCGCCGGCUAACUACGUGCCAGCAGCCGCGGUAAUACGUAGGGCGCAAGCGUUGUCCGGAAUUAUUGGGCGUAAAGAGCUCGUAGGCGGUUAGUCGCGUCUGCUGUGAAAACUCGAGGCUCAACCUCGGGCUUGCAGUGGGUACGGGCUGACUAGAGUGCGGUAGGGGUGACUGGAAUUCCUGGUGUAGCGGUGGAAUGCGCAGAUAUCAGGAGGAACACCGAUGGCGAAGGCAGGUCACUGGGCCGCAACUGACGCUGAGGAGCGAAAGCAUGGGGAGCGAACAGGAUUAGAUACCCUGGUAGUCCAUGCCGUAAACGUUGGGCACUAGGUGUGGGGCCUUCCACUCGGAUUCCGUGCCGCAGCAAACGCAUUAAGUGCCCCGCCUGGGGAGUACGGCCGCAAGGCUAAAAACUC
This 538-nucleotide ribosomal RNA is filed under the name uncultured bacterium. RNAcentral describes it as "partial 16S ribosomal RNA". It matches the Rfam family "Bacterial small subunit ribosomal RNA", at positions 355 to 902 of the family's 1533-position model. The record is from RNAcentral.